CGCAUAUUGCGCCCCCCGGUACUCCGAGGGGCAUGCCUGUUCGAGCGUCAUUGCACCCCUCAAGCCUGGCUUGGUAUUAGGUUUCGUCUCCGGACGGGCCGGAAAAGCGUUGGCGGUUCGGCGUUGACUUCGAGCGUAGUAAAGUUGUUCCCGCUUCGAGGAUCACACGGCGACCGCCGGAAGCGAGUCUAUAUCAAUGAUUGACCUCGGAUCAGGUAGGGAUACCCGCUGAACUUAA
This 238-nucleotide unclassified non-coding RNA is filed under the name Omphalodium pisacomense. RNAcentral describes it as "partial contains 5.8S ribosomal RNA, internal transcribed spacer 2, and large subunit ribosomal RNA". The record is from RNAcentral. Lineage: Eukaryota; Fungi; Ascomycota; Lecanoromycetes; Lecanorales; Parmeliaceae.